Molecule: ribosomal RNA, 312 nt
Filed under: uncultured eukaryote
Lineage: Eukaryota
Description: partial 18S ribosomal RNA
Rfam family: Eukaryotic small subunit ribosomal RNA
Source: RNAcentral
CCCCUAGAUGUCCUGGGCCGCACGCGCAAUACAAUGUAAAGUUCAGAAAGCAUAUCCUGUUCCGGAAGGCAAUGGGUAAUCUUUUCAAUAUUUUACGUGUUAGGGAUCGAUCUUUGCAAUUAUAGAUCUUGAACGAGGAAUACCUAGUAAGUGCAGCUCACCAGGCUGUACUGAUUACGUCCCUGCCCUUUGUACACACCGCCCGUCGCUCCUACCGAUUUCGAGUGGUCCGGUGAAUCUUUUGGAAUUAGAGUGCAAACUCAAACUAAGAUCGAUAAACCUUAUCACUUAGAGGAAGGAGAAGUCGUAACA